CAGGAGGACCGGGCGGUCGCUGCCGGCUUCGGCCGGGGGAGGAAAGUCCGAACUCCGCAGGGCAGUGUGCCGGAUAACGUCCGGGACGCGGGCGUCAAGGCCCGUGGACGGCCAGUGCCACAGAGAACAUACCGCCAACCUGGUUUGGUCUUCGGACCGCGCCAGGGGACCGGCCCAAAGGGCAAUCGCCCGGAUGGCCAGUCCCGGUAAGGGUGAAAAGGUGCGGUAAGAGCGCACCGCUCCGACGGUAACGGCGGAGGCAUGGUAAACCCCACACGGAGCAAGACCAAAUAGGGAGGGAAGCGUGGGCCGGGAGCUGGGCCGCGCUGCGCAUCGGCCCGAUGCGUUCAGAGGGCUCCGGAAGGCCUCGAAACCUCCGGGUAGGUCGCUGAUGAGCGUCCGCGGUAACGCGGCGCCUAGAGGAAUGACCGCACACGACAGAAUUCGGCUUACAGGUCCUUUUGCCGA
Molecule: RNase P RNA, 468 nt
Filed under: Acidobacteria bacterium AB60
Lineage: Bacteria; Pseudomonadati; Acidobacteriota
Description: Bacterial RNase P class A
Rfam family: Bacterial RNase P class A
About the family: Ribonuclease P (RNase P) is a ubiquitous endoribonuclease, found in archaea, bacteria and eukarya as well as chloroplasts and mitochondria. Its best characterised activity is the generation of mature 5'-ends of tRNAs by cleaving the 5'-leader elements of precursor-tRNAs.
Source: Rfam by way of RNAcentral